UACGAAGGGGGCUAGCGUUGUUCGGAAUCACUGGGCGUAAAGCGCAUGCAGGCGGAUCGCUAAGUCGGGGGUGAAAUCCCAAGGCUCAACCUUGGAACUGCCUCCGAUACUGACGAUCUUGAGUCCGGGAGAGGUGAGUGGAACUGCGAGUGUAGAGGUGAAAUUCGUAGAUAUUCGCAAGAACACCAGUGGCGAAGGCGGCUCACUGGCCCGGUACUGACGCUGAGAUGCGAAAGCGUGGGGAGCAAACAGG
This 253-nucleotide ribosomal RNA is filed under the name uncultured prokaryote. Its description in RNAcentral is "partial 16S ribosomal RNA". It matches the Rfam family "Bacterial small subunit ribosomal RNA", at positions 524 to 776 of the family's 1533-position model. The record is from RNAcentral.